RNAcentral lists this ribosomal RNA (2903 nucleotides) under Escherichia coli. RNAcentral describes it as "23S ribosomal RNA". It matches the Rfam family "Bacterial large subunit ribosomal RNA". Lineage: Bacteria; Pseudomonadati; Pseudomonadota; Gammaproteobacteria; Enterobacterales; Enterobacteriaceae. The record is from RNAcentral.
UUAAGCGACUAAGCGUACACGGUGGAUGCCCUGGCAGUCAGAGGCGAUGAAGGACGUGCUAAUCUGCGAUAAGCGUCGGUAAGGUGAUAUGAACCGUUAUAACCGGCGAUUUCCGAAUGGGGAAACCCAGUGUGAUUCGUCACACUAUCAUUAACUGAAUCCAUAGGUUAAUGAGGCGAACCGGGGGAACUGAAACAUCUAAGUACCCCGAGGAAAAGAAAUCAACCGAGAUUCCCCCAGUAGCGGCGAGCGAACGGGGAGCAGCCCAGAGCCUGAAUCAGUGUGUGUGUUAGUGGAAGCGUCUGGAAAGGCGUGCGAUACAGGGUGACAGCCCCGUACACAAAAAUGCACAUGCUGUGAGCUCGAUGAGUAGGGCGGGACACGUGGUAUCCUGUCUGAAUAUGGGGGGACCAUCCUCCAAGGCUAAAUACUCCUGACUGACCGAUAGUGAACCAGUACCGUGAGGGAAAGGCGAAAAGAACCCCGGCGAGGGGAGUGAAAAAGAACCUGAAACCGUGUACGUACAAGCAGUGGGAGCACAGAGCAAUCUGUGUGACUGCGUACCUUUUGUAUAAUGGGUCAGCGACUUAUAUUCUGUAGCAAGGUUAACCGAAUAGGGGAGCCGAAGGGAAACCGAGUCUUAACUGGGCGUUAAGUUGCAGGGUAUAGACCCGAAACCCGGUGAUCUAGCCAUGGGCAGGUUGAAGGUUGGGUAACACUAACUGGAGGACCGAACCGACUAAUGUUGAAAAAUUAGCGGAUGACUUGUGGCUGGGGGUGAAAGGCCAAUCAAACCGGGAGAUAGCUGGUUCUCCCCGAAAGCUAUUUAGGUAGCGCCUCGUGAAUUCAUCUCCGGGGGUAGAGCACUGUUUCGGCAAGGGGGUCAUCCCGACUUACCAACCCGAUGCAAACUGCGAAUACCGGAGAAUGUUAUCACGGGAGACACACGGCGGGUGCUAACGUCCGUCGUGAAGAGGGAAACAACCCAGACCGCCAGCUAAGGUCCCAAAGUCAUGGUUAAGUGGGAAACGAUGUGGGAAGGCCCAGACAGCCAGGAUGUUGGCUUAGAAGCAGCCAUCAUUUAAAGAAAGCGUAAUAGCUCACUGGUCGAGUCGGCCUGCGCGGAAGAUGUAACGGGGCUAAACCAUGCACCGAAGCUGCGGCAGCGACGCUUAUGCGUUGUUGGGUAGGGGAGCGUUCUGUAAGCCUGCGAAGGUGUGCUGUGAGGCAUGCUGGAGGUAUCAGAAGUGCGAAUGCUGACAUAAGUAACGAUAAAGCGGGUGAAAAGCCCGCUCGCCGGAAGACCAAGGGUUCCUGUCCAACGUUAAUCGGGGCAGGGUGAGUCGACCCCUAAGGCGAGGCCGAAAGGCGUAGUCGAUGGGAAACAGGUUAAUAUUCCUGUACUUGGUGUUACUGCGAAGGGGGGACGGAGAAGGCUAUGUUGGCCGGGCGACGGUUGUCCCGGUUUAAGCGUGUAGGCUGGUUUUCCAGGCAAAUCCGGAAAAUCAAGGCUGAGGCGUGAUGACGAGGCACUACGGUGCUGAAGCAACAAAUGCCCUGCUUCCAGGAAAAGCCUCUAAGCAUCAGGUAACAUCAAAUCGUACCCCAAACCGACACAGGUGGUCAGGUAGAGAAUACCAAGGCGCUUGAGAGAACUCGGGUGAAGGAACUAGGCAAAAUGGUGCCGUAACUUCGGGAGAAGGCACGCUGAUAUGUAGGUGAAGUCCCUCGCGGAUGGAGCUGAAAUCAGUCGAAGAUACCAGCUGGCUGCAACUGUUUAUUAAAAACACAGCACUGUGCAAACACGAAAGUGGACGUAUACGGUGUGACGCCUGCCCGGUGCCGGAAGGUUAAUUGAUGGGGUUAGCGCAAGCGAAGCUCUUGAUCGAAGCCCCGGUAAACGGCGGCCGUAACUAUAACGGUCCUAAGGUAGCGAAAUUCCUUGUCGGGUAAGUUCCGACCUGCACGAAUGGCGUAAUGAUGGCCAGGCUGUCUCCACCCGAGACUCAGUGAAAUUGAACUCGCUGUGAAGAUGCAGUGUACCCGCGGCAAGACGGAAAGACCCCGUGAACCUUUACUAUAGCUUGACACUGAACAUUGAGCCUUGAUGUGUAGGAUAGGUGGGAGGCUUUGAAGUGUGGACGCCAGUCUGCAUGGAGCCGACCUUGAAAUACCACCCUUUAAUGUUUGAUGUUCUAACGUUGACCCGUAAUCCGGGUUGCGGACAGUGUCUGGUGGGUAGUUUGACUGGGGCGGUCUCCUCCUAAAGAGUAACGGAGGAGCACGAAGGUUGGCUAAUCCUGGUCGGACAUCAGGAGGUUAGUGCAAUGGCAUAAGCCAGCUUGACUGCGAGCGUGACGGCGCGAGCAGGUGCGAAAGCAGGUCAUAGUGAUCCGGUGGUUCUGAAUGGAAGGGCCAUCGCUCAACGGAUAAAAGGUACUCCGGGGAUAACAGGCUGAUACCGCCCAAGAGUUCAUAUCGACGGCGGUGUUUGGCACCUCGAUGUCGGCUCAUCACAUCCUGGGGCUGAAGUAGGUCCCAAGGGUAUGGCUGUUCGCCAUUUAAAGUGGUACGCGAGCUGGGUUUAGAACGUCGUGAGACAGUUCGGUCCCUAUCUGCCGUGGGCGCUGGAGAACUGAGGGGGGCUGCUCCUAGUACGAGAGGACCGGAGUGGACGCAUCACUGGUGUUCGGGUUGUCAUGCCAAUGGCACUGCCCGGUAGCUAAAUGCGGAAGAGAUAAGUGCUGAAAGCAUCUAAGCACGAAACUUGCCCCGAGAUGAGUUCUCCCUGACUCCUUGAGAGUCCUGAAGGAACGUUGAAGACGACGACGUUGAUAGGCCGGGUGUGUAAGCGCAGCGAUGCGUUGAGCUAACCGGUACUAAUGAACCGUGAGGCUUAACCU